GAUGAAUAUGGAUACUACGUUAUGAGGUUCAUUUAUGAUAUAUGCACAAAAUUUCAUAACUACACUUCGUUGGAUGAGGCAUAUCAAGACACAAAUGCUUAUUCUAAGGAUGAAAUAGAUGAGAUACGAAGGUUAUGGAUAGACUAUUUUGUAAAUGAGUGCAUAUAAAUGUUUAUUAGGUGCACUAGAUGGAAUUACAUUGUAUAUAUUAUGAUAUAUUAAUGUUGGAUUAUUAUUUUGU
Ipomoea nil (Japanese morning glory) is the source of this 241-nucleotide long non-coding RNA. RefSeq lists it as uncharacterized. The record is from RefSeq and is a predicted model, not a curated record. NCBI's taxonomy places the organism in Eukaryota, Viridiplantae, Streptophyta, Magnoliopsida, Solanales, Convolvulaceae. The transcript has 2 exons.